RNAcentral lists this long non-coding RNA (517 nucleotides) under Medicago truncatula (barrel medic). Its description in RNAcentral is "long non-coding RNA (MTRU_LNC002899)". Lineage: Eukaryota; Viridiplantae; Streptophyta; Magnoliopsida; Fabales; Fabaceae. The record is from RNAcentral.
AGUCCAUCAUCACCAGGCUACAGUCCAUCAUCACCUGGAUACAGCCCCACUUCACCAGGGUACAGUCCCACAUCCCCUGGGUACAGCCCCACAUCACCUGGGUACAGUCCUACCUCUCCAACAUACAGCCCUAGCUCUCCAGGAUACAGUCCUACGAGCCCAGCUUAUUCACCUACAAGUCCAUCCUACUCUCCCACGUCACCCAGCUACAGUCCCACAUCACCCAGCUACAGCCCAACUUCUCCCAGCUACAGCCCUACAUCUCCCAGCUAUAGCCCCACUUCACCUGCAUACAGCCCAACAUCUCCAGCAUACAGCCCCACUUCACCUGCCUAUAGUCCCACUUCUCCAUCAUAUAGUCCAACAUCACCUUCCUACAGUCCAACUUCGCCUUCCUACAGCCCCACAUCACCCUCUUACAGCCCGACAUCUCCCUCAUAUAGCCCUACAUCACCUGCUUACAGCCCUACCUCUCCUGGGUACAGCCCCACAUCACCCUCUUACAGCCCAACAUCAC